UACGGAGGGUGCUAGCGUUGUUCGGAAUUACUGGGCGUAAAGCGCACGUAGGCGGUCUGUUAUGUCGGAUGUGAAAGCCCUUGGCUCAACUGAGGAAGUGCAUCCGAAACUGGCAGGCUAGAGUACUAAAGAGGAUCGCGGAAUUCCCGGUGUAGAGGUGAAAUUCGUAGAUAUCGGGAGGAACACCGGUGGCGAAGGCGGCGAUCUGGGUAGAUACUGACGCUGAGGUGCGAAAGCGUGGGGAGCAAACAGG
This 253-nucleotide ribosomal RNA is filed under the name uncultured bacterium. RNAcentral's name for it is "partial 16S ribosomal RNA". It matches the Rfam family "Bacterial small subunit ribosomal RNA", at positions 524 to 776 of the family's 1533-position model. The record is from RNAcentral.